AGUCUGACGAGUGGCGAACGGGUGAGUAAUAUAUUCGGGAACGUGCCCCAGCUUGUGGGGGAUAACUACUCGAAAGUAGUGGCUAAUACCGCAUGAGCACCUGAGGGUGAAAGCGGGGGAUCGCAAGACCUCGCGCAAUUGGAGCGGCCGAUAUCACNAUUAUGCUAGUUGGCGGGGUAAAAGCCCACCAAGGCGACGAUCUGUAGCUGGUCUGAGAGGACGACCAGCCACACUGGGACUGAGACACGGCCCAGACUCCUACGGGAGGCAGCAGUGGGGAAUUUUGGACAAUGGACGCAAGUCUGAUCCACCCAUGCCGCGUGCGGGAAGAAGGCCUUCGGGUUGUAAACCGCUUUU
This 357-nucleotide ribosomal RNA is filed under the name Paucibacter sp. RSS-6. RNAcentral's name for it is "bacterial SSU rRNA". It matches the Rfam family "Bacterial small subunit ribosomal RNA", at positions 85 to 437 of the family's 1533-position model. Lineage: Bacteria; Pseudomonadati; Pseudomonadota; Betaproteobacteria; Burkholderiales; Sphaerotilaceae. The record is from RNAcentral.